CACAAUCCUACUCGAUCGGCUAUAUAUUCUCUUUCUCCUCAAGCUUUUCUUGCAUUCAUAUUUAAGCUAUAUAGAGUAUCAUCUCAUCUCUUUUCUUCUCUUCUAGCUCUUGGAUUUUGGAAAAUGAACAAGCCUCCAAAGUACGCUACUCCAUACCCAGCCCAAGGUACUUAUAUUAUAUACCGUCAAACUUCUCUAUAACAGUUUUGUUUGUUCUGAAUAUUUUUGAAUGUUAUGGUGAAGUGUUGUUACGAAAGAAAAUAUAUUAUAACAUAACAUGAAAUUUGGUUUUGAAAAAGUUUGGCUUUUUAUAGUGAAAGUGUUGUUAUACGUAGAUGCAUAUUAUUCUAUAGUCGUUCUUAAUUAUUCUAUUUGCAUACUUCUAUGUAUUUGACUUAAGUAGGUCUAUAUAUUAUGACAAAUGAGUUGUUGGUGUAACAAUAUUUCGUACAUGAUGCUGCCUUAACAUUGUUCGUCGUGCUAGAUUAUAAACACAUUAUUGUACUGGAUGUUCUAAACAUCGAUCUUCUGUUUUCAAUGAUGGCAACUUGAUACAUAUAUUCGGUGAUUUUAAGGUAAUGCAAUUUUACUUGAGGUCUUGUAUGACUAGAAUGGUUGCAAGUUCUCUUAAAUAGUGAGAAGAUAAAAAUGCAUUGUGAAGAAAUGAAUGGUGGAGACAGGAGCGAUGAUGCUGAACGACUAAAUAUUUGGGUUAGACCGAAUUCAAUAGCUUUAGUCCAAUUUUUGUAUUUGUAUUAAUGUAUUUUUUUCAAGAAAUUCAUUAAAUAUGAACAAAAAUUAAAUUAAGAACCUAAUUACUGACAUGGUAAUAUCUCUUAGAAUGCUUAAAUUUCAGAUCUAGAUAAUGAUUUUGGGAACAAAAACCUACAGUCUGGGAAUGUCACUUGUGUUGUUUACUUUUAGUUAUUGAUCUUGUACGUAAUGCUGUUUAAUUUUGGUGGCAGGUUAUUAUCAGGGUCCUCCCCCUCCAGUGAUGCCACCGCCAACAUAUGCUGUUCCUCCACCUCGUAAAAACAGAGGUUUUCUUAAGGGAUGGUAAUAGCAUAAUUAGCCUCCUAAUUAAACUGAUUUGCUUCUCC
This 1100-nucleotide long non-coding RNA is filed under the name Nicotiana tabacum (common tobacco). RNAcentral describes it as "long non-coding RNA (NTAB_LNC006433)". The record is from RNAcentral. Lineage: Eukaryota; Viridiplantae; Streptophyta; Magnoliopsida; Solanales; Solanaceae.